GAUGAAGAACGUAGCGAAAUGCGAUACGUAGUGUGAAUUGCAGAAUUCAGUGAAUCAUCGAAUCUUUGAACGCACAUUGCACCUCUCGGUAUUCCGGGAGGUAUGCCUGUUCGAGCGUCAUUUGUACCCUCAAGCUCUGCUUGGUGUUGGGUGUUUGUUCCGCCUCUGUGUGUGAACUCGCCUCAAAACAAUUGGCAGCCGGCGUACUUGUUUCGGAGCGCAGCACAUUUUGCGAUCCAGAGCAACGUACAGCGGCAUCCAAGAAGCCUUAUUUAACGCUCUUGACCUCGGAUCAGGUAGGGAUACCCGCUGAACUUAAGCAUAUCAAUAAGCGGAGGA
RNAcentral lists this unclassified non-coding RNA (339 nucleotides) under soil metagenome. Its description in RNAcentral is "partial contains 5.8S ribosomal RNA, internal transcribed spacer 2, and large subunit ribosomal RNA". The stretch from base 1 to 120 matches the Rfam family "5.8S ribosomal RNA", at positions 35 to 154 of the family's 154-position model. The record is from RNAcentral.